CGUAGGGUCCGAGCGUUGUCCGGAAUUAUUGGGCGUAAAGGGCUCGUAGGCGGUUUGUCGCGUCGGGAGUGAAAACUCAGGGCUCAACCCUGAGCGUGCUUCCGAUACGGGCAGACUAGAGGUAUGCAGGGGAGAACGGAAUUCCUGGUGUAGCGGUGGAAUGCGCAGAUAUCAGGAGGAACACCGGUGGCGAAGGCGGUUCUCUGGGCAUUACCUGACGCUGAGGAGCGAAAGCAUGGGGAGCGAACAGGAUU
Molecule: ribosomal RNA, 254 nt
Filed under: uncultured bacterium
Lineage: Bacteria
Description: partial 16S ribosomal RNA
Rfam family: Bacterial small subunit ribosomal RNA
Source: RNAcentral